This 747-nucleotide ribosomal RNA is filed under the name uncultured bacterium. Its description in RNAcentral is "bacterial SSU rRNA". It matches the Rfam family "Bacterial small subunit ribosomal RNA", at positions 103 to 863 of the family's 1533-position model. The record is from RNAcentral.
CGGGUGAGUAACGCGUAGGCAACCUGCCCUCAGCACAGGGAUAGCCUCGGGAAACCGGGAUUAAAACCUGAUGAUGCGGAGAAGUCACAUGGCUUUUCCGUCAAAGAUUUAUCGGCUGAGGAUGGGCCUGCGUCUGAUUAGUUAGUUGGUGGGGUAACGGCCUACCAAGACGACGAUCAGUAGCCGACCUGAGAGGGUGAUCGGCCACAUUGGAACUGAGACACGGUCCAAACUCCUACGGGAGGCAGCAGUGGGGAAUAUUGCACAAUGGGCGAAAGCCUGAUGCAGCAACGCCGCGUGAGCGAUGAAGGCCUUUGGGUCGUAAAGCUCUGUCCUCGGGGAAGAAAAAAAUGACGGUACCCAAGGAGGAAGCCCCGGCUAACUACGUGCCAGCAGCCGCGGUAAUACGUAGGGGGCAAGCGUUAUCCGGAAUUAUUGGGCGUAAAGAGUACGUAGGUGGUUCUUUAAGCGCAGGGUUUAAGGCAAUGGCUCAACCAUUGUUCGCCCUGUGAACUGGAGGACUUGAGUGCAGGAGAGGAAAGCGGAAUUCCUAGUGUAGCGGUGAAAUGCGUAGAUAUUAGGAGGAACACCAGUGGCGAAGGCGGCUUUCUGGACUGUAACUGACACUGAGGUACGAAAACGUGGGGAGCAAACAGGAUUAGAUACCCUGGUAGUCCACGCCGUAAACGAUGAGCACUAGGUGUCGGGGUCGCCAAGAACUUCGGUGCCGCCAGUUAACGCCAUUAA